UACGUAGGGUGCAAGCGUUAAUCGGAAUUACUGGGCGUAAAGCGUGCGCAGGCGGUUCGUUAAGUCAGAUGUGAAAUCCCCGGGCUUAACCUGGGAACUGCAUUUGUGACGGGCGGACUCGAGUAUGGCAGAGGGGGGUAGAAUUCCACGUGUAGCAGUGAAAUGCGUAGAGAUGUGGAGGAAUACCGAUGGCGAAGGCAGCCCCCUGGGCCAAUACUGACGCUGAGGCGCGAAAGCGUGGGGAGCAAACAGG
RNAcentral lists this ribosomal RNA (253 nucleotides) under uncultured bacterium. RNAcentral's name for it is "partial 16S ribosomal RNA". It matches the Rfam family "Bacterial small subunit ribosomal RNA", at positions 524 to 776 of the family's 1533-position model. The record is from RNAcentral.